This 77-nucleotide transfer RNA is filed under the name Clostridiales bacterium. Its description in RNAcentral is "tRNA-His". It matches the Rfam family "tRNA". From Rfam's summary of the family: Transfer RNA (tRNA) molecules are approximately 80 nucleotides in length. Their secondary structure includes four short double-helical elements and three loops (D, anti-codon, and T loops). Further hydrogen bonds mediate the characteristic L-shaped molecular structure. tRNAs have two regions of fundamental functional importance: the anti-codon, which is responsible for specific mRNA codon recognition, and the 3' end, to which the tRNAs corresponding amino acid is attached (by aminoacyl-tRNA synthetases). tRNAs cope with the degeneracy of the genetic code in two manners: having more than one tRNA (with a specific anti-codon) for a particular amino acid; and 'wobble' base-pairing, i.e. permitting non-standard base-pairing at the 3rd anti-codon position. The record is from RNAcentral. Lineage: Bacteria; Bacillati; Bacillota; Clostridia; Eubacteriales.
GUGGGUAUAGCUCAGUUGGUUAGAGCGCCAGAUUGUGGCUCUGGAGGUCGUGAGUUCAACUCUCAUUACUCACCCCA